Molecule: ribosomal RNA, 662 nt
Filed under: uncultured bacterium
Lineage: Bacteria
Description: bacterial SSU rRNA
Rfam family: Bacterial small subunit ribosomal RNA
Source: RNAcentral
GAGUUUGAUCCUGGCUCAGAACGAACGUUGGCGGUGUGGAUUAGGCAUGCAAGUCGCGCGCGAAAGUCGCAAGACGAGUAAAGCGGCGGACGGGCGAGUAACGCGUAAUCAACCUGCCCUUGAGACUGGAAUAGCCACUGGAAACGGUGGGUAAUGCCAGAUGGCCCCCCGGGUUGGCAUCAACCUGUGGGUAAACGGUGGCGCAAGCUGCUGCUCAGGGAGGGGAUUGCGUCCUAUCAGCUAGUUGGCGGGGUAAUGGCCCACCAAGGCGAUGACGGGUAGCUGGUCUGAGAGGACGACCAGCCGCACUGGGACUGAGACACUGCCCAGACUCCUACGGGAGGCUGCAGUCGAGAAUCUUCCGCAAUGGGCGAAAGCCUGACGGAGCGACACCGCGUGCAGGACGAAGGCCUUCGGGUUGUAAACUGCUGUCACGCCAUAGGAAACCCAGGCCGUCAAUACCGGUCUGGUCGACUAAAGCGAGAGGAAGUGGCGGCUAACUCUGUGCCAGCAGCCGCGGUAAGACAGAGGCCACGAACGUUGUUCGGAAUUACUGGGCAUAAAGCGCACGUAGGCGGCUAGGUCCGUCCGAUGUGAAAUACCCCGGCUCAACCGGGGAACUGCAUCGGAUACAGCGUGGCUUGAGGAUGGUUGGGGUGAGU